UACGUAGGGUGCGAGCGUUAAUCGGAAUUACUGGGCGUAAAGCGUGCGCAGGCGGUUCGUUGUGUCGGCGGGGAAAGCCCCGGGCUCAACCUGGGAAUGGCCGUUGAAACUGGCGAACUGGAGUGUGGCAGAGGGGGGUGGAAUUCCGGGUGUAGUGGUGAAAUGCGUAGAGAUCCGGAGGAACACCAGUGGCGAAGGCGACACGCUGGGCCAUACCUGACGCUAAAGCGCGACAGCAUGGGGAGCAAACGGG
RNAcentral lists this ribosomal RNA (253 nucleotides) under uncultured bacterium. RNAcentral describes it as "partial 16S ribosomal RNA". It matches the Rfam family "Bacterial small subunit ribosomal RNA", at positions 524 to 776 of the family's 1533-position model. The record is from RNAcentral.